Molecule: ribosomal RNA, 638 nt
Filed under: uncultured bacterium
Lineage: Bacteria
Description: bacterial SSU rRNA
Rfam family: Bacterial small subunit ribosomal RNA (bases 1-528)
Source: RNAcentral
CCUACGGGAGGCAGCAGUGAGGAAUAUUGGACAAUGGGCGCAAGCCUGAUCCAGCCAUGCCGCGUGCAGGAAGAAGCAUCUAUGGUGUGUAAACUGCUUUUGUACAGGAAGAAACACUCCCUCGUGAGGGAGCUUGACGGUACUGUAAGAAUAAGGACCGGCUAACUCCGUGCCAGCAGCCGCGGUAAUACGGAGGGUCCGAGCGUUAUCCGGAAUCAUUGGGUUUAAAGGGUCCGUAGGCGGUUUAAUAAGUCAGUGGUGAAAUCUGGUCGCUCAACGAUCAAACGGCCAUUGAUACUGUUAGACUUGAAUUAUAAGGAAGUAACUAGAAUAUGUAGUGUAGCGGUGAAAUGCUUAGAUAUUACAUGGAAUACCAAUUGCGAAGGCAGGUUACUACUUAUGGAUUGACGCUGAUGGACGAAAGCGUGGGGAGCGAACAGGAUUAGAUACCCUGGUAGUCCACGCCGUAAACGAUGGAUACUANUGUGUAGNAUAUGAGUGNGAGAGAAGAGAGUAAGUAGUACCACCGUCGGGAGGUACGGUUAACGGUACGAAGAAAGUUAAGUAAACGUUAAAAGUUAAGUAAGUUAGUUACGGCGUGAGACGUUAGCCGACGGACGACGACGAGGGAGGAGGAG